Cucumis melo (muskmelon) is the source of this 1269-nucleotide long non-coding RNA. RefSeq lists it as uncharacterized. The transcript is spliced from 2 exons. NCBI's taxonomy places the organism in Eukaryota, Viridiplantae, Streptophyta, Magnoliopsida, Cucurbitales, Cucurbitaceae. The record is from RefSeq and is a predicted model, not a curated record.
GUUUCUGGGUUCAAAAAAGAACAACGGUGAAGAAACAAUGCAAACAAGAAGACAGCUCCCAUAGAUUUACAUUGUUUUUGGUUUUUCUUUUUCUUGCCAUAUGUUCAUUAUGCCAUGAUUUAAUCGUUUCUCUUCUGCAAUUAGAAAUGAUGAGUUAUUUCUAUCCAAAUUCAUCAAGAAGACAGAUGGAAACAUUUCCAAGUUCCAGACGAAACAGAAAGCUAAGGAACUUUUUGAAGACACGAGUCUAGAAGUAAGAGAGGAAAUCAACCUGAGGCUGCCAUCCAAGUUCGUCUGCAUAACGGAAAGUAGCUUCAUUCACAGCUUGCCAUUCAAUAGCAAACCUCGUUGAACCACUAUUUACCCCCAAAUGAAGCUGAAAGAACAUGAAUAACAAUAUAACAUCAGUAAAUGGGAAAAUUUUCCUUUCUUUCUAUGUGUGACUUAUCUCCUUCUCGUUACUUUUAGUCGAAUAAACAAGUUACCGAAUAUAGUGUAAUAUUGUCACGUUAGAAUAAAAAACAUACUUCUUCAUUUUACUGAGUUUAGACUUUAUGUAAUAAAUACACUCAAUCUAAAAGUCCCAAUAAAUAUAUUCACACCAAACACUUUCAAUAAGCAAAAAUUUCAUUCUCCUCUUUCUACCUUCCCAUAUUUAUCUUCUUUGAACUUUAAAGUGCAAUAGACCAAAAGAGGGUCUACUGUGCUAUAGAAUGAUUUGAAUCACACAACGUUUUAAUUGAGUUGUUGAGUUGAACAGGAUAGAGGAUUUCUUGAGAAGAGUGAUGUACUCAAGAACUCAAGCCUCCGCAUAAUUGUCUAUGUAUUUGUUUCUCAAUGUUUCCUUCGUUAUAGAAUAACUACAUCAGAACUACUAGUGAGCAUUAAGAUUGUGUUCGAUAAAAAGAUUAUGCAAAACAAAAUAGAUGGUAAAAAAACUGACCCAUACGACUUUGUUGGUUUCAGUCACAUUUGAGAUGCCAGAUUCCAGAACUUUGUGGAGCACUGGAAGAGCACCAUCUCCAGCUGCAUCAAGAACUGUGCAACUUCCAAGAGUGACACCAGCAGGUAACCCUUUUUCUUCUACGAAAGCCUUCAAGUCACUGACAAUAGCCUCGGUAGGAUUUUCAGCAACCCCAUGGAAUUUCUUAAAUCCAGUUACGUGAAUUGUAACCCCACUUGGUCCUUCAGAACCCAUUUCUUUCACUUGACCCCGCAAACAAUUCCCCGUUGUUUGUCAAGACUUUUUUUUGCUACUAAGACCUCCCC